Molecule: long non-coding RNA, 1660 nt
Organism: Parus major (Great Tit)
Lineage: Eukaryota; Metazoa; Chordata; Aves; Passeriformes; Paridae
Source: Ensembl
GGCAGUGCCUCUCCUCUCGGCCCGUCUGGCCUCGGGCCGCUUUCGCCGCACCCCUGGAGGAGGCGGCUGAAAGAUGAUACUUGAAUUACUUGAAUUUAAGCUUGCCGCUUUUACUUAUCAGUGUAUUCUCAUGUACGCUUGUAAAAGAAAUAUUUUCAGCCCAUUUCUUGUUUCCUGGUUACCUUGUUUGCCGGUUUUUUUCGUGUGUCAGUGUUACGGUCAUAAUUGUCCAAUGUGCUGAGGAAAGGAAGAUUCAGAUUAGCUAUUAGAAAACAUAUUUUCAUUAUUCGAGUGUUCAGGCAUUGCAAUGGGAUGCCCAGCGAGGUGGCCGAGACACCAUUCCUGGAGCUGAGGCAUCCAAACCUGGCAUUGUGUGAUGCAAUUUAACUUGCAGCCCCUGGUACAUGCGUUUAGAAAGUGCUUAUGACUACAGUUGCUUUUGCAGUCUCUUUUAGGACAGUCUAAUUUUAAAAUAUUUUUGGCAUACAUUUAAUACAAGAAAUCUCAGCAAGUUUCCUAGUAUCUUUUAAACAAUGUAGGUAACACAUAUUUCUUAGUUCCAGAUGCAGUUCCUAAACUUCAGGCAAUGCUUAAAUUGCUGAAGAAAUACUAAAAUGUGAGACAAACGGAAAGGAGAUGUAUAUGAUAGUGUGGGAACAAGAAGUUUACAAGGCUGCAGGAGGAGGCUGGACAAGUACAUGAAAGUACAAGUAACAAAAUUCAAGGAAGGUUCUUGUUGGCCAGAAUGUGCCUGCUUUCUGGGAUGCUGGGGACUGUGAAGGAUGCUCAGGGAAACUUCAAAUUUUGUAAUCCCAGAGUCAAACCUGGGCAGGAGGAGAGAGCAGAAAGUCACAAGCUGAAGUGGACAGAUUCUAACCUUGGCUUUGGUAAGGAACUCUUUUGGGAAGCUGUCUCUGCUGAAUACCCCAGUACCUUAUUGCAGGGCUCUCUGUGGCUGCAGACUCCUUCAGUAGCUGCUGUGCAUCCCAGAGCAGCCUCGAGUUCUGAAGGAUGAAGUGUUUAAAUGUGCGCAGAGGGUCAACUUGGAGAGACCAGGAUUUAUUUACAGGACAGUUGGCCUGCAGUCUAGCACACAGAGCUACUGCUUAUAUCCUAGGUAAAAUAGAUGACUUGGCACUUGGAAAGUGCUACAGAUAUUGCUAAAAAGGUGCUUCUUGGCUCAUCCAUCUCUUGUAAGGUGCAGAGGAACUGUGGCAGCUAUAUAAAGAGUUUGGGGAAAAAUAGAGACACAUGAGUAAUGGAGUAGUAAAACUCAGUUCAGCUCUUUGGCACUUGCAAACUCACAGCCAAGCCCUGCAGUCUUAACUUGGGAAAAAAAAUUAUCUGGAGAAAUCAAAGGGAGUUUUAACUUAGAAAGCCACUCUACUGCUUGUUUGUUGUAGGGGUAGGUGUUCAGCAGCUAAGUUCCCUUUCUUUGGCUAUACAGGCUGUGACUAGGGGCAAGCAUCUCCUCUUAGUAUCACAACAGAUGUAAAAGUAAUCAGAAGCACAAUUCUACCAGCUAGAAAAAUCUGCUGCAUUAUUAAGAACAGCUUCUAAAAUGCUGAAGAAAACUAUAAUCAACUGCUAAAGCACGUCUUGGGGAACUAAAAGGGUUUAUAAAUAAUCAUUAGAAUAAACUGCUCCCUGCCGUGAGGCA